GGCCCUGCCCUCCGCGAGCCCCCCGGGGGUGGCGGGCCGGGGGGCGCCAGGACGCCCCUGCGGCGCCCUCGCCUGGCCCCGACUCACCGCUGGGCGCUGCGGGCGGCUCCUAGAGCCGUUCGCUCCUCCUGCGCGGCGCCGCGGGCUCGGCUCCACCUCCCGCUCUGGCUGCCGCCGAGCCUCCGGGGACCCGCGGGCGGGGAGCGCGGAGCCGUCGCCAAGCCAGGAGCCGGGGCUGGGGCUGGGGGGCGGCGAGCCGCGGGCGGGGCGGGGGGCGCGCCGGCCCGAGCGGCUCCCCGCGCGCCGGGCGCGCCCGAGACCACCCCGCAGGUGGCGGCUCCGCGCGCGCCCGAGGCCAGAGAAGUUGCGGGAGGGGCGAAGACGCGGCGGCAGCCGGGCUCCGGCCGAGAGAGAGAGGGUCGGUAUCUCCUCGGCGAGGGUGGUCCUUCCUCUUUCCGGACCCCCUCCCUCCCACCCGUCUGGCCCCUUGCGGCUCUGGGCGGCCCUCCCUGCCCUGGGCCGACUCACUCACCAAAACUUUGCAGACGGCGCUGGGGAGAAUUAAUCCCGGAGUCGCCGUCUACGCGGCCCUGGGGGGUUAGGACGCCCGCCCGGGAGAGAGCGUGGACUCGCCGCGCGCGAUGGUCGGAAAGCGGUCGGUCCAGGAGCAGGACAAAAAGGACAAGACGUCCUCCCAUCCCGGCGCCCCUACCGAGCACUCUUCCCCGAGUGCCAGACGGCUGGCACAAUUCCGCGGGCUCCUGCUGUCAACAGGAGCAGCGAGACCUCACGGAGAAGCAUAUAGCACGCCAAGCGGCUUGCCCGAGACGCUGCCACUCUGCUUCUGUGCACCCGGCAUCCCCUAGCCCACCCCAGGAGACAAGAAACGCCUUACAGGGGGGAAUCACAGAAAACAACUAGAGCGGGGCAGCACCAGAGACGAACGCACAUCUGGUCUGCAUCCACCUGACAUAAAAUCCUGAGAUCCAAACACAGAUGAGCUCAAGACAGGGCCUUCUAUUUCUACAGCAGUCGCGGUAAUCCACCCUUGAAGAGAUCUAGCUCAGCUGGGCCUGUCUUCUCAGACAGCAGGAAUACUGGCUUGUAGACAUAUCCCUUGGACACCCCAGGUCUCUAAAGUAUACAGACAACUCCGUACACACAGCCCUUUUAACUCUGUGCAGACAACCUUUUUAACUCUGAUGGAUAGAUUAUUUUAAAUAUUAUUACUUCUUUCCAAGCAUUACUAGCAGCUUUAAAAAAAAAUAGAUCACUUAAUUUAUCACCUAAGUCAGUAUCUUCAAAGUUCUGUCCGACUUCCAGGCCUUACUCUGGGCCCUGUCACUUCUAUAAAUACAUGUUAUAAUAAGGCCUCCAUUAAAAAGAGAAUGUGUUUCAAUAACACGUUAUUGUAAGAAUCUUUAUUACUGACAAUAGACAUAGGCUGUAUAAGGUGUACUCAAGGAUGUUAGUGGCUCAGUGGUAAAGAAUCUGCCUGCCCAUCCAGGAGACAUGGGUUCGAUCCCUGGGUUGGGAAGAUCCCCUGGAGAAGGAAACAGCAACCCACUCCAGUAUUCUUGCCUGGAGAAUCCCAUGGGCAGAGGAGCCUGGCGGGCUACAGCCCACAGGGUUGCAAAGAGUUGGACACGACUUAGUAACUAAACAAUAAGGAUGUCAGAACAGGAAAGCUCGUAUGUAAAAUAUUAACACUUGGUGAUGAGAGGGGCAAGGAUAGUCAAAAUCAAUAGGUCAGGGAUAACUCCUCCUGAAGGAGAAGCAAUAAGUUCAAUUGCUAUUUUUGUUUAGUAAUUAAGGCAUGUCUGACUCUGCAACCCCAUGGAUUGUAGCUCACCAGGCUCCUCUGUCCAUGGGAUUUUCCAGGCAAGAAUACUAGAGUGGGUUGCCAUUUCCUCCUUCGGAGAAUCUUCCUGAACUAGGGAUCAAACCUGAGUCUCUCACAUCUCCUGCAUUGGAGUUCCUUUAUCACUGAUAAAGGGAAGCCCAAGAAGUGUGAUGACC
Molecule: long non-coding RNA, 2019 nt
Organism: Capra hircus (goat)
Lineage: Eukaryota; Metazoa; Chordata; Mammalia; Artiodactyla; Bovidae
Source: Ensembl